Non-coding RNA from Triticum aestivum (bread wheat), 125 nucleotides. The record is from Rfam. Lineage: Eukaryota; Viridiplantae; Streptophyta; Magnoliopsida; Poales; Poaceae.
GUUCUACUCCCUCCGUCCAGAAUUACUUGUGGCGGAAAUGGAUCUAUCUAGACGUAUUUUAGUUCUAGAUACAUCCAUUUUUAUCCAUUUCCGCGACAAGUAAUUGUGGACGGAUGGAGUACUAA